This is a long non-coding RNA of Passer domesticus (house sparrow), 694 nucleotides long. RefSeq lists it as uncharacterized. The transcript has 4 exons. NCBI's taxonomy places the organism in Eukaryota, Metazoa, Chordata, Aves, Passeriformes, Passeridae. The record is from RefSeq and is a predicted model, not a curated record.
CCUCAUAGAAGAGAUGUCCCAUUCUUCUGAUCAUUUGUGUGAGCCUCUUCUGGACCUGUUCCACCAGGUUCCUGUCCAUCCGUGCUGAAGAACCCAGAGCUGGAUGCAACACACCAGGUCUGGCUUGCUGCUCUCUUUUGCUUGCUGCUCCUGCUCUGCCACAUGGCUCCUGAAGCAGAAUGUCACAGCACUGAGGUUGUCAGAGUCACCCAAGAGUCACACAUCAGCAAGUCACCACAGACCAGCUGAGCGCAGGAGCUGCUGACAGACUCAUGGAUAACCCAGGGCAAGGGGAAGGGGAGGUGACUUCUUGCAAGAGCUCUCUGACUCUAUCAGGAUACCACUGGGACUUCACCAGGUCCAUAGAUCUGCUGCAUAAUGUGUGAAUGGCCAUAUCUCACCAUGGAGUCAAGAGUUGAGCUGUUAUGAGUACAACAUAAAUAAGAUCAAAAUCAGAGUUGACUUCUGACAGGAGAUGUAAUGGCUGUGGCUGUGCCAAAGCCUGCACCACAGUCCAAAGCCAAUCUCACUUGGGCACUGUGCAACACAACUUCUUCCUUGGACCUCAGCUUCCUACUAGAGGAAUUAUUUCAUCACAGAUGAAGGUCAAUGACGACUGGUCACACAUCACAGCAAAGGGGGCACCAGGACAUGUGAAAUGGAGUUUAAUUUCAGCACAGCAAUAAAAGCCAGA